This 810-nucleotide ribosomal RNA is filed under the name Pseudogymnoascus sp. RNAcentral's name for it is "partial large subunit ribosomal RNA". It matches the Rfam family "Eukaryotic large subunit ribosomal RNA", at positions 79 to 902 of the family's 3401-position model. Lineage: Eukaryota; Fungi; Ascomycota; Leotiomycetes; Thelebolales; Thelebolaceae. The record is from RNAcentral.
CUCAGUAACGGCGAGUGAAGCGGUAACAGCUCAAAUUUGAAAUCUGGCCUCACGGUCCGAGUUGUAAUUUGUAGAGGAUGCUUCGAGCAUGGUCUGGCCUAAGUUCCUUGGAACAGGACGUCAUAGAGGGUGAGAAUCCCGUAUGCGGCCAGGUGCCUACGCUCAUGUGAAGCUCCUUCGACGAGUCGAGUUGUUUGGGAAUGCAGCUCAAAAUGGGUGGUAAAUUUCAUCUAAAGCUAAAUAUUGGCCAGAGACCGAUAGCGCACAAGUAGAGUGAUCGAAAGAUGAAAAGCACUUUGGAAAGAGAGUUAAACAGUACGUGAAAUUGUUGAAAGGGAAGCGCUUGCAACCAGACUUGCGCGCGGCCGAUCAUCCGGUGUUCUCACCGGUGCACUCGGCCGUGCUCAGGCCAGCAUCGGUUUUGGCGGCUGGAUAAAGGCCCUAGGAAUGUAGCUCCUCUCGGGGAGUGUUAUAGCCUAGGGUGCAAUGCAGCCUGCUGGGACCGAGGACCGCGCUUCGGCUAGGAUGCUGGCGUAAUGGUUGUAAGCGGCCCGUCUUGAAACACGGACCAAGGAGUCUAACAUCUAUGCGAGUGUUUGGGUGUCAAACCCAUACGCGUAAUGAAAGUGAACGGAGGUGAGAACCCUUAAGGGUGCAUCAUCGACCGGUCCUGAAAGUUUACGGAAGGAUCUGAGUAAGAGCAUAGCUGUUGGGACCCGAAAGAUGGUGAACUAUGCCCUGAAUAGGGUGAAGCCAGAGGAAACUCUGGUGGGAGGCUUCGCAGCGGUUUCUUGAACGUGCAAAUCCGAU